UAGUAUCUAUCCCAAAGACCAGGGAGAAAGGAAGGAAAGAUUCUGGUUCUGUCCUCUUCCCCAAGGCAAGGCUGGCUGCCCUACCAACAGAGGCAAAGAGAAGAGUGUGCAAGGCUGGCUGCCCUCCCAACAGAGGCAAAGAGGAGUGUGUGUUGAAAUAUCCAUUGAAUCCCUGAGACAACUGGAUCCUGGCCCAUUGAAUCAUAAACUCACUGGUAGUCUGUCAAGGAAAUGAGCUGAACAUGUCUGUGUACAGCUUUUGUGCCAUCCCUGGAUGAGCGAGCUGUCUGCCUCUAUGUUCUCCACAAAAUGGAAUAUAGCUGUACACCCAAGCCAAGUUAUGGAGGCUGGGAAGACCUAGAAUGUGGCAUCACUAUUUGGAAACCAUGCCGAUUACCGACCGAGCUCUCAAUGGAAAAAUGCAGUCGGCGUGAACCACGCACGAACACAGCAGAGAAAGAAGAAAACACACACCACGAGGAACCCUAAUAGGACAAUACAUUAUAAGCCUCAUGGUACAUCCACUUGGUGUGCUGGGAGAGUCAGGAUGAGGACCUGAGAAGAACAGCAGCUUGAACCUGACUUCAUUUAACAGCCCACUGCCCUCUUGCCAAGAACCCAUCACAGACCUUCCCAGAAGAGAGGGAUGAGCCUCACCUAUGAAUAAGUCCUCAGAAACUCAAAUUUGAUUCUAAUGGAUUGUUUUCUCAGAAAGACUGAGCAUGUCCCCCCACAUCUCUGUCAUUUCCCACAGUAGUAACCUCUGCAGAUGCCACAUAGAAAACAAAACAAAACAAAAAAACAUGAGGUUGGUGGGCAGAUAGGCAGGGUAUAAACAAACAGCCUUGUAACCCAGAAGCUGUGUGAUAUACAGUAAACUUCACAACACUGAAAAGAUGUCCUAUCUGUUAAAAUGGGGUAAUAACAACUACCCGAAUGUUUAGGAAUAGAACUUCAAUAAAUGAUACAUUUUAUAGUACAGCAGAC
This 987-nucleotide long non-coding RNA is filed under the name Mus musculus (house mouse). Its description in RNAcentral is "predicted gene, 36041". Lineage: Eukaryota; Metazoa; Chordata; Mammalia; Rodentia; Muridae. The record is from RNAcentral.